Long non-coding RNA from Papaver somniferum (opium poppy), 2191 nucleotides. RefSeq lists it as uncharacterized. The transcript has 12 exons. Lineage: Eukaryota; Viridiplantae; Streptophyta; Magnoliopsida; Ranunculales; Papaveraceae. The record is from RefSeq and is a predicted model, not a curated record.
ACAAGGCUGCUGAGAUACUUGCUGCAAAGAAAAAAAUCCAUUUUUUUCUUAUGAACCUUCCACCCCCUGUUCCAUUUUCUUACCAAGACUAAUCACGAAUCAACAUAUCAUCAUGAUUGCUUCCUCCUUUCAACAGAGCUAAUGAUUCGAAAUUUUAUAAAUCAAAUAACCCUCAUAUAUGUCCUUGUAUCUGUUGUUGCCGCAAUCAGAAACCCUAACUCUCUGUAAAUAUCUGUAAAAACAGUAAAAUCCUUCACGGCCGACCAACAUCCCUUUUUGUUCAUCAAUAACUUCCAAAACCCAAUCUUCUAUUUUUGUCAUCGCAAUCAGAAACCCUAACUCUCUAUUUCGAAAGAUUUUUUAAGAGGUUAAACAAUCGAAGAUGUGGACAGAGUAUGAUAUAGGUGUGAAUACUUUCUCACCUGAGGGGAGAUUUUUUCUGGUUGAGUAUGCGAUUGAAGCUAUUAAGCUUGGGUCAACUGCAAUUGAGAGCGUAUCACUUCGCAGUUGCUGAUAUUACGCAGACCCGUCUGGCACAUUUUGGAAGUAUGAUGCAAAUGAAAUUGGAUCAGGUUCUGAGGGAGCAGACAGCUCUACAAGAUCAAUUCAACAAGAUCUUCGGAACCAAUAAUUGGUGAAGUAGGGUUGCGGGUUCAAAGGUCUUGUAGAUGGUGGCAGUACUUUACUACCUUCAGGACAAACAUUUUCUUAGGGAUGAUCUACAAUACACUGGGGAUGGUCUUUGAAUUUGCUUCAGUCGAGCUGCUAAUGUAGGUAGUUUAGAUUUGAAGCAAGUAGAGAGACAAACACAGGUUUAAGAGGCGGCUUUAGUGAAGAAAGCUGAAUUAGCAUCCAAGAGAGUUGCAUCUGCAUAUGUGUAACGAAAAGGAGGGAGAAGUCCAAAACAGUUGGAAAGCGAAAAGUUUUGCAAGGUCUGCAAAGUGAUGCAUACUAUUGGUCUGGUCUUCAUGACUGUACAUCCUCUUGCUCAAAUGUAGUUGUAGUACAUAGUCAAAUUCUGAGGUUGAUGCUCAAACUGAGUUGCAUGCUGAUCCAAACCAGUGGGAUGUUGCAACAUGUACAAAUACAAUGGAGUUUAUGAAACCUAUGGAUAUGUUUCAGCUUCUCAAGAUCCUAACACGUAUUCUUACCAAGGCUAUGGUGGUCCUGGAUAAUCAACAUCACCAACAACAGGUGAACUAUGACUUGUAGUCCCUAAGCAGUUGAUGUGUUGAGGAAACCUAAUGUUCUUAUUACUUCAACAAAGGCUACUAGCACUGGAGGGGUAUGAAUAACUAUCUCAUGAGAUAUUGUCAUCUUCAGUUAGUGAAGCAUUUAUUACUAAGUUUGAGAAUUUACUCUGAUUAUUUGGUACUUAUCUACUAGGUUCAUAGAUCUAGCCUUCCUCGCUUACAUUUUCUUGUUAGAUACCCUUGGACGGCAUCUCAUUCUUUCAUAUGGAGUGCAAUUCGCCGUGGGAUACUGAUUCCUAUGCAUGAAGUUUCAUAUUUUUCUUAAAAUUACUCUCAUUAUGAUCUCGAAAAUUUUGAUAUUUGCGAUCCAUUACCCUUCCUGCAACUCAAAGUAGUCUGAGGUUUAUAAUUUGGUCCAGGAUCUGACAGGUCAUGUUUUUUUUAUUCUUUUAUAUUUGUGUAAAAUUGAAGUACUAUAUAAUGUAUGGGAAUACCAUUUGGUGAUCUUGGUUAACUAUUGAAGUAGUCGGAAGGGAUGGGAAUCCUGAAAAUCCUACCAGUUCUUUCUCACGUGUUCUAUUUUAGGUUCAAAGGUCUUGUAGCUGAUGGAAGUAGAUUACUACCUUUGGGACAAGCAGUGAGAUAAGUUUUGUUGGAAUCCAGUGUAUGCUCAGGGUUGUGUUAUACUUGACAUAUAUGGGUCCAAAGCAAAGAACCAAACACAUGUAUUUGCUAUUUGUGAGGCGGUUCCAAAGAAGAAAGUUGAUUCAGCAGCUCAGUGUAAACUAGGGUACUCAGACUCGCACUUGUCUUUAAGAAUCGUCUUUAAGAAACAUGUGAAUCUAUCAUCUAAGACUUGUAUUGGUGCAAAUUCAAGAUUUUUUUUGUUUUUUUUUUCCUGAUUUUGAAGCCAAGUGCAGGUUUGAAAUUCUGCUAUUUGAACCUGUAUGAAUUGUACAAUGAAUACUGGUUCUUGAAUAAAUGGCCAUUUGAAUUUA